Molecule: RNA transcript, 3910 nt
Organism: Lytechinus pictus (painted urchin)
Lineage: Eukaryota; Metazoa; Echinodermata; Echinoidea; Temnopleuroida; Toxopneustidae
Exons: 3
Source: RefSeq, a predicted model, not a curated record
AUUACACGCAAUAACUAUUGUAGCAAACAAUGCAUUUAACCGCCGAGUCUAUGGUUGUUUUGCCUUCGCCUAUAUUAUAGUAGUCUAUCGUCAAAAAGCCUGGUCAAAAAAGGAAAAGUAUAAUAAGAACAAAAUAAAUCCACGGGGAUAUAAGCUACCUUUGCAAAAUGAGCUCAGCUACCAAACCGGAUUUUGAUGGAACCUUAAAACUAAUUGCUAGGGCUAUACACAAAAAGGUGGAGGUUGAUAAUCUCGGAUCAGCCCUGGGAUUCGGCCCUGCAGAUAUCGGUCGAUAUACUGAUGAGAAUGAAAAGCAGGGCGGGAACUAUAUGGGUACAUUGGACAUGCUCAGGACGUGGCGAAAAAGGCAGACGGUUUCCACUGAAAGACGGAAUCUGAGAUCCGCACUAUCGACAGCUGAUUUAGCAUCCCUGGCGGAUCAGUAUCUAAGCACACCCGAAAAUGCUCUGUCGGAAUGAAGGUUUCGAAUACUGACAUCAUAAAACUGUCGAAACUCAUGCCCUGUGAUAAAUUCAGCGAGUUCUGCGUUGCUCUAGAAUUCAGCCUUACUGACGCUCAAAACACCUUAACCAGACAUCAAUUAAAUGCUCGUGCUGCUUUCGAGGAGAUGCUGAUGGCAUGGAGUGUAAGGACAGGUGGACGAAGAAUGGAUCUUGAUAAAGCUCUGCAGGAUGUAGAAUGUUUUGCCCUCAUAGACCAAUACAAGAACUAGAUCUACGACUACGUGAUGCGUUUUUGUGAACUUGAAGGAAAAUGAAACCUUUGGAAAAGAUAGCUUGGGCGAAAACAGAAAACCAAAGAAACCGAUCAACGAAAGUUUGAGAAAAAAUGAAUAAAUAAUAAAAAAAAAGGAAUGAGCAUUUAAAGUUAGGAUCGGUAUUGUAAUGUAGAUUCUCCCACUGGCAAUGCGACAAUUAUGCGUGAUGUUACAUGUGAACAACUUUCCCAUUUCUUUUUUAUUUAUUUCACUUAAAAUGCCUAUCACAUCUACAUUUAUCAGCAGAUCAUGCAUUCCUUCUAUACAGGAAGGCAUAUGCCGAUUUUCUAAGAAUACAUUAUGGAUAAAGAGUUUGUAUCAACAUUAAAAAUAGCAUAACGAGACAUUUAGGGGGUAUUCUUAUAGUCCAUUAAAGGGAAAGUUUUUCACCUGUACAUCACACAUAUUUGUCGCAUUGCCAAUAACCUUCUCAUUAAUUGUCCAAUUUUUCUCAAAAUUUCUUUGAUCUUAUUCUUUGAUUUGUCUGUUUUCAUUCAAGCUAACUUGUUACAAUGGUUUCAUUCCCCUUGAUGCUUUUCUGGAAGACCAAGAUAUGAUACCUACUGAAAACCGGAUACACCUACUUCUGCGAAUACUUGUAUAUUAAACAGACAUACGGUUAGUAUUGUGAUUGUGGGUGAUGUGAGUAGUUUUAGAAUGUCAAAAAGUAUGAUUUUAGGUGACACAGUGAAAUCGGUAGUGUCACAUUUUUUGCAAAGUACGCUACACUUAUAUUUCAAUUGCUUUAUAUCUAGCAAAAAACAAACAAACAAACAAAAAACAUACGACUCCGGUAGCUUAUAUCUGGUAGGAUAAGAUUUCAUUAACCUUUCACUAGUAAAUUUUAACUAGUAUGUUAGAUAGUAUUCAACACGUUGAUGACACCCCCCCCCCCCUACAUAACUUAUUUUUCACACUUACUUUUCAAAUAAGUUAGUAUAUGAAACCAUACAACACAUCAACCAUACCUUCAAUGCGUUGUACAAUAUCAGUGGUAGAAUUAAGAUAUGAUUAAAACAUUAGGAGUUGUACUUUCAUAUUUUAGUACAUGUAGAUGUAUGUAAUAUCUAGUUAUUAUUUUAUAAUAACCCUCUAAAUUCACAUUUAUUUUAUUUUGAUACGCACUGUACAUCAAUGUAUUCUGCACAUACAGAUUUGUCGAGUCCCCAUAAUGCAUGUGCAUAAAUAGGCCUAGUAUUUGAAUUGCACCUAUAUAUGUUUUAGACCGAAGUACUCUUCGUCAUAUUGGAUUUUGUUUGUCUUGUGGCUCUAUCUUUUGGAUUUUGGUCAAUUAGAUAUUUUCCAGCAUGCUUCAAGGGUAGCCAAUAAAAAAAUGCAAUCACUCUUUAGAAUAAAUUCCCGUUCAUCGAAAUCUUAUACAAUUGGUACGUGAUCGUUUAAUUGUUGUAAUGAUCAUCGUUCUUCCAAAGCUGUAAUCUAAAAUGAACUUGCUCAAAUAUGUUUUCAUCGCGUUGAUAAUGAGCAUAUGAUUCAGUUCUACUGUAGACAGAUGAACAAAAGACGAUUUGUAAGCAAUAAUAUGAAACACAUACCAUUUAGAUUCUUGGUCUAUCUACUAAUGGAUUAUGAAUGUGAUAGAACGUAAAUAUAACGUUCCAUUGGAGGAAGGAUUCGAGCAUUUGUUUGGCGUACCUGGUUCAAGGUCCAACUAUAAUGAUAGUUGCAUACAUUACCAUAAUUCUGGUAUUAUGAGCCAAGGAAUAGAUAACCUUAACGCAAUGUAAACCGUUCCAAAAAUUAUCACUAACCUUGUUUAUUUGACUUUUUUGUCUUUAGUAAUUAAUUUCCAUUCCAUACUUAAUUAGGUCAUUUCUAUACCAAACGAAAGUUUAGAAAUCUGAAUAAAGCAUAAUAAAUCAAGUAAGCAUUACCAUUUAGCAUGUUAUCAAUAUCGGAUGCUCAUUCUGACCUAAGUCUAUUUUGCUAAAAGGGAAGGGUUGAUGUUAAACAUUGAAUAUUUAUUUAUCAUUUCAUUGUUGGGGUUAUAUAUUAUUGAAAAUAUGGUAACUCAUAUUUUGUCCAUGUUUACAGCAUGCAUCUUUCAAUUUCGAUUAACUUAAAUAUUACUUUUACUGUCUACAGGUGUUCCAUUUUCCAUUUAUGUAUGCCAUGCUUAUUUACUUUUUUUCUUGUACAUUUCAGCUGUUGGUAUAUUGAAUGUAAAUAUUUUGAUGGGUUUUUUACUGGAAAAGAAUAAACAUAUUAAAUUGAAUUUUAAAAAAAUGUUCAUGAGGUCUUAAACAGGUUUUGUAUUUAAUGAUUUCUCAAAUGAAAGUGUAUAUUAGUUGAAAAUAAAGUAAUACAAAAUAAUUAUAUAACAAUACAGUGCUCACUUACAUGGAUAAUAUAUUACCGUUUUGUGAAAUAUGCAACAAUUAUAUAAUUCACGUUUUAUGUUUCUGUCAGCUUUACAUUUUUGUUAUGGAAAAUUUUACGAGAAAAUUUCAUACUAAUUGAUAAUGAAUAACCAGUUGUUAGUUUGUAAUUUUCUGGAACAUAUUUUUGCGAGUUUUUUUCCUGGUUUAACUGGUGUAAUCUAAUAGGCCUUUAAUCAUUGGACCAUGGAACAAGUCCAUGAAAUAUACAUUUGUAUUUCAUGUGCAAUAUAUAGAUAUAAGGUUCAUUUCGCGGUUUAUUUGUUUAUAUUUGCGAGUCUGCUCCAGAUAAUUAGUGUUCGUCUCAAAAUACGUGAAUCACUCUACAAUCAUGUAUUUGAAUUCAAGAAACGGUCAAACACCCAAACGCAAUAAACAUUUUUUUUUUCAUUCUUGAAGUGACCUAGGCUCGUUUUAUAAAAAGUUUACAUUCUAUUUUUUUCGCUUAUAAAUAUAACACUAUAUCACAACGUUCAAAACGAAUCUGAAACAAGGUUUGCAUCUGUUUUAAUAGGUAAUCUUUAAUACUGUUCAAAUAUUACAGUAAAAUGAGUACAAUUUUUGCUAGUCGGCAGACAAUCUUAUCUGUAGAUGUUAUCGCAAAAUAUGCCUAUUACUCAUAAAGUUUAUGUCAAUUAUUUAUGCAUACUUUACCUUUAGACCCUAUACGACUAUCAACAAAAAGUAUGUAUAUCUGCCUGUAUCGAAAUAAAAAUGUCUUGAUAGCUGCACAGUA